Drosophila elegans is the source of this 814-nucleotide long non-coding RNA. RefSeq lists it as uncharacterized. NCBI's taxonomy places the organism in Eukaryota, Metazoa, Arthropoda, Insecta, Diptera, Drosophilidae. The transcript is spliced from 4 exons. The record is from RefSeq and is a predicted model, not a curated record.
UUAGUGAAGAAGGUUGAAUGUGUGCGGUCUUAGAACGGCUUCUAAGCUCCCAAGUUAACUUAAAAUGUAGUACAACGCUCCUAGGAAAGUGAUAAUGGUUCAAUUCAUGGCACGUCGAAUGUUUGUACAGUAAAUUUUUUCCAUGUGCUUUGCCCGCCAGAGAAGCUCUGAGCGUGAUCUGUAAGCGAUUUAGAGAUGGAAAAUGCAAUAAUAUAAUACAAUCUAACAAUUGUGGGCACGCCACCCUGCUGCCAAUUCUCCGAUCUGAAAAACCAGUUGGGGAACUCAUGUAAGAACCGAGCGACAUCGACCCACGUCAAAAAAGGGACAUGGCCAACCUAAAUGCAAUUGGAGAGACACGCUGGUCGUUGGUGAUCCUCCAGGCAUAGGAUGUGGGGAUAUGUGCCGUCUGUCGCUCCUGACUGAAUGGAUGCGCGUCGAGUGCGCCGAUCUCAUGACAACCUGCAAUCAAGCGCCAGCAGGCACUUCCAGAAAGGACUGGGAUUGGGCCAUGCCCCCAAUACACACAAAACAAUGCUAGCAGAGGUGAAGAUGUAUGCAACCAAUCGCGUAGGCAACUGGCAACAAGCAACAUGCAACUGGCAACAUGCAACAGACGACGGAAAACAUUCAACAAUACGACAUUUGCACGGGCUUUAACUUAAAUUAUGCGCCAAACAAAUAAGGUCUCGCCCAGUCUCAACUUCGGAGCCAGUCCCAUAAUGAUGCCAUGAGGCCAUCGGCAAGUUGUAAAUGUUCCUGCACACAAAAAAAAAUGGGUUAAGCAAAAAACGAACAAAAAAAAAUCGUUAAC